RNAcentral lists this ribosomal RNA (481 nucleotides) under uncultured bacterium. RNAcentral describes it as "bacterial SSU rRNA". It matches the Rfam family "Bacterial small subunit ribosomal RNA", at positions 329 to 803 of the family's 1533-position model. The record is from RNAcentral.
UGGCUAACUCCUACGGGAGGCAGCAGUGGGGAAUUUUGGACAAUGGGGGCAACCCUGAUCCAGCAAUGCCGCGUGAGUGAAGAAGGCCUUCGGGUUGUAAAGCUCUUUUGUCAGGGAAGAAACGGUAGUAGCUAAUAUCUAUUACUAAUGACGGUACCUGAGGAAUAAGCACCGGCUAACUACGUGCCAGCAGCCGCGGUAAUACGUAGGGUGCAAGCGUUAAUCGGAAUUACUGUGCGUAAAGCGUGCGCAGGCGGUUGUGUAAGUCAGAUGUGAAAUCCCCGGGCUCAACCUGGGAAUUGCAUUUGAGACUGCACGGCUAGAGUGUGGCAGAGGGGGGUAGCAUUCCACGUGUAGCGGUGAAAUGCGUAGAUAUGUGGGGCAAUACCGAUGGAGAAGGCAGCCCCCUGGGAUAACACUGACGCUCAUGCACGAAAGCGUGGGGAGCAAACAGGAUUAGAAACCCGGGUAGUCCAGCUGG